RNAcentral lists this ribosomal RNA (1451 nucleotides) under uncultured organism. RNAcentral's name for it is "SSU rRNA". It matches the Rfam family "Bacterial small subunit ribosomal RNA". The record is from RNAcentral.
GGCUCAUUUUGAACGCUGGCGGCAGGCCUAACACAUGCAAGUCGAGCGGUAGCACAAGAGAGCUAGCUCUCUGGGUGACGAGCGGCGGACGGGUGAGUAAUGUCUGGGAAACUGCCUGAUGGAGGGGGAUAACUACUGGAAACGGUAGCUAAUACCGCAUGACGUCUUCGGACCAAAGUGGGGGACCUUCGGGCCUCACGCCAUCAGAUGUGCCCAGAUGGGAUUAGCUAGUAGGUGGGGUAAUGGCUCACCUAGGCGACGAUCUCUAGCUGGUCUGAGAGGAUGACCAGCCACACUGGAACUGAGACACGGUCCAGACUCCUACGGGAGGCAGCAGUGGGGAAUAUUGCACAAUGGGCGCAAGCCUGAUGCAGCCAUGCCGCGUGUAUGAAGAAGGCCUUCGGGUUGUAAAGUACUUUCAGCGAGGAGGAAGGCAUUAAGGUUAAUAACCUUAGUGAUUGACGUUACUCGCAGAAGAAGCACCGGCUAACUCCGUGCCAGCAGCCGCGGUAAUACGGAGGGUGCAAGCGUUAAUCGGAAUUACUGGGCGUAAAGCGCACGCAGGCGGUUGAUUAAGUCAGAUGUGAAAUCCCCGAGCUUAACUUGGGAACUGCAUUUGAAACUGGUCAGCUAGAGUCUUGUAGAGGGGGGUAGAAUUCCAGGUGUAGCGGUGAAAUGCGUAGAGAUCUGGAGGAAUACCGGUGGCGAAGGCGGCCCCCCUGGACAAAGACUGACGCUCAGGUGCGAAAGCGUGGGGAGCAAACAGGGAUUAGAUACCCUGGUAGUCCACGCUGUAAACGAUGUCGACUUGGAGGUUGUGCCCUUGAGGCGUGGCUUCCGGAGCUAACGCGUUAAGUCGACCGCCUGGGGAGUACGGCCGCAAGGUUAAAACUCAAAUGAAUUGACGGGGGCCCGCACAAGCGGUGGAGCAUGUGGUUUAAUUCGAUGCAACGCGAAGAACCUUACCUACUCUUGACAUCCAGAGAAUUUGCUAGAGAUAGCUUAGUGCCUUCGGGAACUCUGAGACAGGUGCUGCAUGGCUGUCGUCAGCUCGUGUUGUGAAAUGUUGGGUUAAGUCCCGCAACGAGCGCAACCCUUAUCCUUUGUUGCCAGCACAUAAUGGUGGGAACUCAAAGGAGACUGCCGGUGAUAAACCGGAGGAAGGUGGGGAUGACGUCAAGUCAUCAUGGCCCUUACGAGUAGGGCUACACACGUGCUACAAUGGCAUAUACAAAGAGAAGCGAACUCGCGAGAGCAAGCGGACCUCAUAAAGUAUGUCGUAGUCCGGAUUGGAGUCUGCAACUCGACUCCAUGAAGUCGGAAUCGCUAGUAAUCGUAGAUCAGAAUGCUACGGUGAAUACGUUCCCGGGCCUUGUACACACCGCCCGUCACACCAUGGGAGUGGGUUGCAAAAGAAGUAAGUAGCUUAACCUUCGGGAGGGCGCUUACCA